RNAcentral lists this ribosomal RNA (406 nucleotides) under uncultured bacterium. Its description in RNAcentral is "partial 16S ribosomal RNA". It matches the Rfam family "Bacterial small subunit ribosomal RNA", at positions 30 to 526 of the family's 1533-position model. The record is from RNAcentral.
AUUGAACGCUGGCGGCAGGCUUAACACAUGCAAGUCGAGCGAGCGGCGGACGGGUGAGUAAUGUCUGGGAAACUGCCUGAUGGAGGGGGAUAACUACUGGAAACGGUAGCUAAUACCGCAUACCAUCAGAUGUGCCCCGCUGGGAUUAGCUAGUAGGUGGGGUAAUGGCUCCCCGAGGCUACGAUCCCUAGCUGGUCUGCGAGGAUGACCCGCCACAAUGGAACUGAGACACGGUCCAGACUCCUACGGGAGGCAGAAGUGGGGAAGAUUGAACAAUGGGCGCAAGCCUGAUGCAGCCAUGCCGCGUGUGUGAAGAAGGCCUUAGGGUUGUAAAGCACUUUCAGCGAGGAGGCGUUACUCGCAGAAGAAGCACCGGCUAACUCCGUGCCAGCCGCCGCGGUAAUUC